This 2674-nucleotide long non-coding RNA is filed under the name Homo sapiens (human). RNAcentral describes it as "non-protein coding lnc-VGLL4-6:5". The record is from RNAcentral. Lineage: Eukaryota; Metazoa; Chordata; Mammalia; Primates; Hominidae.
GAGCCGCUCCGAGGGGCCCACCCGCGAGCAGCGGGGAAGGCGGGGACCCGGGCCCCGCGGGCCUGCAGCGCCCCCGCACCCGGUUCCACGCGCCCAGGGCCGCCCCCGCGGAGAGAGGGGGCGCGAGGGGCGCGCCUCUCGCUCGGACACCCUCUCCCAGCUCGCGCCCCAGGUAACUUAAACCCAAUUAUAAAUGGCUUUGGCUAUAAAGUGUUCUUGAAUGAAAACGUUUAGGAAGUAGGCCUGGAUUCAGAUGCUUCAGAGGCUCAAAGGAAACAGGAAUCGUGGCUAACCAAAUCCAGCCCAACUGCUUCCUUGUUCACAUGGGGAAAUCGAGGAAGGCCCGGGGAGAGGAAGGCCUGGGGAGAGGAAGUUACUUGCCCAAGUUGCCCAGUUAAUUAGCCACAGAACCCAUGUCCCCCAACUCUGAAACAAGUUCCAGUUAAAGUCUUCACUGAUAACUUUAAAUCCUCCACUAACCAAGGGAGUCAUCUUUGCAUUUGCACAGAGGAGAUGGGAAAAUCACAAAGCCCUUAAGGUCCAGAAGAAAUGAGUGUCACUACGUUGGGCUCCCAGGCUGUGCAACAAGCUGUGGACGGAGAUGUCCGGGCAGGGAGCCCGGUCCAGCUCCCCACCCAUCGCAUCAUGGAGUCAGCCGUCUCCUCUGGGGACUGCACCCUCUGGGUGCUGAGAAAUCCAAAUGGCUCUUUCUCAUGCAGCCGCCCCAAGUGGGCAGGAUGGCCCUUCUCUUGAUUUGUUUCCUGCUUACUUUGUGAGAGUCAAAGUGCAUCCUUCAGGACCAAAGUGGCCAAGGGGCCAGCAUGUUAUUUAGAGUGAUCAAAAUGGACCAUUUUCAACUUGGCCCUAUUUCAGCUCCAGAGCUGUGGUUUCCACUUGCUUUUACUUAUCUGUAUUUUCUAACAUUUCUUUAGCAAAUUUGUAUUACUUUGGCAAUUAGAAAAAAUGACCAGUAAUUUUUAUAAAAGGAUUUGUGUUUGAUUUCCUUUCAGAAAGGCACUUUCAUUUAUUAAAAGAUCACAAUGAGAAGUGAAAUUAAGUUGAUCUUUCUCUCUGGCAAGGAUGUGUGGGGAGGAAUGGGGAGGUGAAUGCUGGGAGCAGAAGCCACAGCUGCAGAGCACUGCAGUGAGUGAAGGCUAGAUCAGGAGACUGGACCAGGAGGCUGGACCAAUUGGCUCUGUGGUCCUAGGCAAGUCACUCAGUGUCUCUGGGUUUCUAUUGCUAGAUGUUUGGUUUCAUUAUUUCUGGAGUUCUUUCCAGGAAUUCUCUGUAUGGAUACAGUCUUUGAGCUUUAGUGAACGUUCAUAUACGCUGUAGGAGAACAUGUAAUGGCUCAGAAAUGUGUUCAGCAUAAAUUCUGUUUGUCUUUGCGGUCCUGUGAGACUGCUGAAAGUUCUGCUCAGCUUCUCUGCUUCUUAGCAUUUGGUUUCUUCUCAGCUUCUCAGUCUCUCCGUUUAGCUCUUUAUGAAUUGGCAAAUUCAUGGAAAAGAGCACAUAGAAUGUCAGGCCCCUGCUCCAUUCAUUUCUCUUCACCCUGAGAUCUUGAUCCCUCAAGUUCUGGCUUCCUGGAUAGCUCUUUCGUGCCUUCUAACAGAUUUUUAUUUUCUUUGAACAAUUCUACCCAGGUUUUCUAAUUGUUUAUGGAGAAGAUUGAUCUUCACAAGCUAGUUUUUUCAUAGGCAAAAGCAAAAGUCUCUUCCUGUGUUAUUAAGUGAAAAUGGCUGAUUAUAAAAAGGGGCUUACAAACAAUAUUUAACAAAUCUUCAUCAAGUCCCUACUCUGUGGCAGGCCCUGGGUCAGGAGGUUGCCGAUUCCAGGAAGAAUCAGACCUUAUCCCUGCCCUUGAGUCUCAAGAAGAGGAAAGGAAAACAAAUAAGCAUAGUACAGUGUGAAAAGUGGGACUGUGGUCAAAUUUCAGUCUGCAAACUCAGAAUGGAUGAAAUAUGAAAGACUGACAACAUCAAGUUGUCAAGUAGGACAGGAUGUGGAACCACUGGAACUCAUACGUGACUGAUGGGAAUGCAAAAUGAUACCGAUCCCUUGGAAAACUCCUUGGCAACUUUAAUAAACAUAAAUCUACCCUAUGAUCCAGAAAUUCCACUCUGAGUCACGUCUCCAAGAGCAAUGAAAAUAUAUACCCACAAAAGACUGCACAUAAAUCAGAACAGCAUUGUUGAUAAUAGCCCAAACUGGAAACAACCUAAAUAUUCACCAAUAGAAGCCUGAAUAAAUUCAUACUGUGGGAUACUCUACAGCAAUGAGGUAGAUGAACUAUUACUGCCUACAACAACAUGAAAGAAAGUAAAAGUCACUACUUUGAUAAUUAUAAACACAAAAAAGUAAACAUAUCAUUCUAUUCAUAUGAAGAGUUAUCUAAAUAAUUAGUAAAAUUGAUCUAUGAUUUUAGAAGUGGUACCUCUGGAGGAGAAGGAGGGGUACUGUUACUGACUGAGAAGGGAGUUCUGGAAAAAUUCUAUACUUUGAUCUUUGGGAUGGUUACACAGAUGUAUAGACAGGCAAAAAUUCAUUGAACUUUACAUUUAUUAUUUGUACAUUUUACCAUAUGCAAAUUGUCCCUCAAUUUAAAAAAUCUCAUUUUCCUUAAAAAAACACAGAGGCAAACAUUUCAAAAACAAUAUCUCACCUUAGAUGAGAU